RNAcentral lists this transfer RNA (115 nucleotides) under Caudoviricetes sp. RNAcentral describes it as "tRNA-OTHER". It matches the Rfam family "tRNA". From Rfam's summary of the family: Transfer RNA (tRNA) molecules are approximately 80 nucleotides in length. Their secondary structure includes four short double-helical elements and three loops (D, anti-codon, and T loops). Further hydrogen bonds mediate the characteristic L-shaped molecular structure. tRNAs have two regions of fundamental functional importance: the anti-codon, which is responsible for specific mRNA codon recognition, and the 3' end, to which the tRNAs corresponding amino acid is attached (by aminoacyl-tRNA synthetases). tRNAs cope with the degeneracy of the genetic code in two manners: having more than one tRNA (with a specific anti-codon) for a particular amino acid; and 'wobble' base-pairing, i.e. permitting non-standard base-pairing at the 3rd anti-codon position. The record is from RNAcentral. Lineage: Duplodnaviria; Heunggongvirae; Uroviricota; Caudoviricetes.
ACGGGACUAGCUCAACGGGUAGAGCAACGUAAUAUGUGUAUAGAAGGGAUACACUAACAGCAUUUUAAUUUGCCAUUUAAGCCGUAGGUUGUAGGUUCGACUCCUACUUCCCGUC